UGAAAGGGGGCGGAGCUGGUUAUGAGGCCGACGACAACGCUGACGACGACGCGAAACCCAGGAACGGACGCCAAAGAGCUGCGCUCUAAAAGAUAUGGCCCGUGCUUUGUGUAUCAGUCGUGCCCCACUUCAAAGCAAAGCGUUCAUACGCACCGGAUGAUGAAUCUACGGAGGCUGAAACGAGCAGUUGCAACGUGCCCGGUGUCGGCGGUCGGUAGUACUGCCGUAAUAACAAUUUUCAGGCAAGUGCCCGUUUAUUUGGUAUUUGUUUGGUGAGCUACGUGUUAUUGCUCGCUCUAGAAGUUUCUUACUGUGAUUUCGUAGCAUAAUUCUCUAAUGUAGGCGCAAUAGCAGCUGCGCUCGUUGUGGGGCAAGGUAACUACUUCCAUCCCACUCCGUGUGACUGUUUGUCAAACAUACAUCGGGUGUGGUGGCCCUGCGUAGUUCCGGUCUGUUUCUCAGCGCGGCUUGUUGUAAUACGGUCGUUCACACUUAAGUGAAAUGUGGUCAACCACUUUGCGUCACGUAGAAAAAGAACGACUGGCUUUGCCACCUUCCGAAAGAACCGGCGGGGUAUUGGUUCUCCCUGGCGCGGUCGCGUGCUGCUGUUGCUGCUUGCCGGACACCUUUAGGUUGUAUCCGGCUCGAUUUAUGUAUGUGUCGGUGCCUGCGUCCGCGCGCAUACAUGCCGGUUUCUAUGAGCCGGCGCGUUUGCUUGUGCCUAGUGCGUAAGUUUUUUGUGAGCGUGUUUGUGUAUGCGUGCUUGCGCGCGCAUGUUUCUGUAUGGGUCGUUGUGUGCGUGCACGUGUUAUCGUGCCCGCCUGCAUGUAUGUGUGUUUGUGUUUAUCAAUACGCGCGUGCACGCUUUUGUGUCUGCACUUUGAGAGUGCGUAUAUUUCUGCGUGGGUGCGAGUGGCGUUUUGCGCGCGUGCGUAUGUAUUGCACAAGGUCGCUAGAGUUCUACUCGCAAUAAAAAUCUUUAAAUUUGGUGCAGCGAGUGUUCCCACCUGAAAGCCGAGUUUGAUUUCAAGCCACCCUGGACAACUGUUGUGUGAGGCGCCGUUUCUCGGGAGGACCAGUGCGAAGGCGUCAGGUCAUGCAUGUGAUAGCAGCAGUUUACCAAUGUCCAGCCUUGGUGACCUCCAUCAAGAGCGAGAUACUUGCGUUUGCCUUCGGACAGAUGGUUGGUGCCUUGGAGGCAGUUGUGAAGAUAAUAUUGAUGCAAGAUUCCAGCAUAGCCAUGCGCGGCAUUUAUUGGUCAAUAAGCUCAGAGAAUGGAGUCCCUGCACGUCGUGGUUAACCAUGAACAGUAUUUUUUUUGUUUGAAAGCUAAGUGCCAUUUGCUGCAUCAAUUGCAUUUCUGCGCCUCAAAUGUUUACCAUAUAUUUUCUAAUUACGAAUCAAUUAAUGUACAAUGUUCAGUAUAUUUAUGAUGUUUGAUACAACGAUUUCUUGCUGGCAAAUGUUAAUUGUGAUAUUAAAUUUGAACCUAUGCGUGAC
This is a non-coding RNA of Dermacentor albipictus, 1500 nucleotides long. NCBI's taxonomy places the organism in Eukaryota, Metazoa, Arthropoda, Arachnida, Ixodida, Ixodidae. The record is from RefSeq and is a predicted model, not a curated record.